This 57-nucleotide transfer RNA is filed under the name Diaphorina citri (Asian citrus psyllid). It matches the Rfam family "tRNA", at positions 8 to 63 of the family's 71-position model. From Rfam's summary of the family: Transfer RNA (tRNA) molecules are approximately 80 nucleotides in length. Their secondary structure includes four short double-helical elements and three loops (D, anti-codon, and T loops). The record is from Rfam by way of RNAcentral. Lineage: Eukaryota; Metazoa; Arthropoda; Insecta; Hemiptera; Psyllidae.
UAACAGAGUGGUCACUGUACUCGUCUUAUACGCGAGAGACCCGGGUUCGAUUUCCGG